This 1313-nucleotide unclassified non-coding RNA is filed under the name Hevea brasiliensis (rubber tree). The record is from RNAcentral. Lineage: Eukaryota; Viridiplantae; Streptophyta; Magnoliopsida; Malpighiales; Euphorbiaceae.
UAGCAAUCGUAUAGCAUUGCUGAGCUGAUGCAACACUAAUGGUUGUCAACUUGCGUAAUCCAAAUGAAUCCAUAUACCAGAAAAACAAUACUCCACAAAAUUAUUUCCGCAAAGAAAGAAUAUCAAACAUAAAAGUUACAAACAAAAAAAAAAAAAAAAAAUUUUGACCGUUGGAUAUGAUUAAAACCAGACCAAACCAGAAUCAAAACCAGGGAGAUCCUUCAGUCUGGUUCCCGUCCCCAUGGCCGUAGAACUGGAACAGGACCAUGGCCAAGCCUGAGGUAGAGCACUUGGCAUGUGCAAUGAAAGUACACAUCAAACAAACAAAGGUCAGAUGAAGCAAGACAAAAAAAUACCAUAUAAAUUCUCAAACGGGAAAAACAAAGGAAAGAAAGGGGAGGGGGAAAAAAUCCUCUGCAUAAAACUGAGCAAGGUGAAUGAAUAUGUAAAUCAAGAUUUAUUACAACUUCAAAAUUUCACUGGAACAAAAUAAAAAAGUUGAAUUCUAGUUAAUACUUUGGACGUUGGUGAUUAGCAGGAUUACAAGUGAUUAAAUGAUAAAAAGAGAAUUGCAAUAAGUCAUUCAAAAGUCCUAAGCUCAGUUUGGCAAAGGCCAACAAAGUGACCCAAUUGAUAUGGCCAUGAAGGAAACAAAGUUCCAUAUAGUUGAAAAUGAAAUAAUAAUUUUGAUCCAUAAAAAGGAAUAGAAUGGCAAAUUCUAUCAUUUCUUAACGAAAACUGAGUAAUUUCUACAACAAAAAACUAGUAGCUAGUAGGUGAUAAUUGACUGCCCAAUCACACAUGACAAUUCUAUAUAGCGUACACUUAAUUUUAUAAGUUUUAUAUCACAUGCACAACAAUUAAACCACAAUUUAGCUGGAAUAGUUGAAUGCAAAAAGAUAAUUGAAGGAAAUGCCAAAUGCAAAUACAUAAUGCAACCUCCACUACAAGAAUUCAUUUCAGCAUCCAUAUUCUCAGGAGCAGACGAUAUAAAUAUAAAAUUUAUACUAAACGCUAUCACGAAACUUCUUCAUUUCAACAGCUAAAACUGGGAAUGUAUUUCAGUACUAUCAAGUUGACACCAGAAAAAGCAUCCCCAGAAAACCAUUGUCGACAAACAUCUUCAGAUCGAAACUAAACCAAAGCUACAUUUUACUUUUCCAUUCCUAAAUCACUUAAAUUAAAAGAGCAGCUUAAUAGUUCUAUCUGUAUCGAGAUCAAAGCAUUCACAUGCUUAGAAGAAAAAAAAAAAUCACACACAUAAAUGAGAUUUUAAAACAUAUAUAUACCAUCGAAAUCUUCAUUGUCAGGAA